Molecule: long non-coding RNA, 237 nt
Filed under: Lathyrus oleraceus (garden pea)
Lineage: Eukaryota; Viridiplantae; Streptophyta; Magnoliopsida; Fabales; Fabaceae
Description: Pisum sativum (pea) long non-coding RNA (PSAT_LNC039135)
Source: RNAcentral
AAAGGGAGUUUUUUCUCCUUCUCUCUUUUGGUUUGUAGAGAGAGUGAGUGAUGAGUGAAGGAUUUGUGUGUAGUAGUGCGUUAGUGUGAGCUUGUCCGCGUGAGGGAGGGAUGGUAGGUGUCCUCUUUUUAUUUCCUUUCCUUUCCUUUCGUUGCCAGCACACAAAUAUUUGUGGAGUGGAGAGAGAGACGGUUAGGGAGUGGGCGCCAGUUGUCCAUGAGAGAGAUGUGAGGAGUU